AACGAACGCUGGCGGCAGGCUUAACACAUGCAAGUCGAGCGAAGACUUCGGUCUUAGCGGCGGACGGGUGAGUAACGCGUGGGAACGUGCCUUUUGCUACGGAAUAGCCCCGGGAAACUGGGAGUAAUACCGUAUACGCCCUUUGGGGGAAAGAUUUAUCGGCAAGAGAUCGGCCCGCGUUGGAUUAGGUAGUUGGUGGGGUAAUGGCCUACCAAGCCGACGAUCCAUAGCUGGUUUGAGAGGAUGAUCAGCCACACUGGGACUGAGACACGGCCCAGACUCCUACGGGAGGCAGCAGUGGGGAAUCUUAGACAAUGGGGGCAACCCUGAUCCAGCCAUGCCGCGUGAACGAUGAAGGCCUUAGGGUUGUAAAGCUCUUUCAACGGUGAAGAUAAUGACGGUAGCCGGAGAAGAAACCCCGGCUAACUCCGUGCCAG
RNAcentral lists this ribosomal RNA (437 nucleotides) under uncultured bacterium. RNAcentral's name for it is "bacterial SSU rRNA". It matches the Rfam family "Bacterial small subunit ribosomal RNA", at positions 29 to 511 of the family's 1533-position model. The record is from RNAcentral.